This 124-nucleotide ribosomal RNA is filed under the name uncultured bacterium. Its description in RNAcentral is "partial 16S ribosomal RNA". The record is from RNAcentral.
GCCGGGGCUUCUUCUGCAGGUACCGUCAUCAUCGUCCCCGCUGAAAGAGUUUUACAACCCUAGGGCCUUCUUCACUCACGCGGCAUGGCUGGAUCAGGGUUUCCCCCAUUGUCCAAUAUUCCCC